RNAcentral lists this ribosomal RNA (567 nucleotides) under uncultured Methanosarcinales archaeon. Its description in RNAcentral is "bacterial SSU rRNA". It matches the Rfam family "Archaeal small subunit ribosomal RNA", at positions 356 to 923 of the family's 1478-position model. The record is from RNAcentral. Lineage: Archaea; Methanobacteriati; Methanobacteriota; Methanomicrobia; Methanosarcinales.
UGCGGGAACCGCGAUAAGGGACCCCGAGUGCCAGCAUCAAAUGUUGGCUGUCCGGAUGAUUAAAGAUCAUUUGUUAGCAAGGGCCGGGCAAGACCGGUGCCAGCCGCCGCGGUAACACCGGCGGCCCGAGUGGUAGCCGUUUUUAUUGGGUCUAAAGGGUCCGUAGCCGGCCUGAUCAGUCCUUUGGGAAAUCUGGCAGCUUAACUGUCAGGCUUCUAAGGGAUACUGUCAGGCUUGGGACCGGAAGAGGUAAGGGGUACUCCAGGGGUAGGAGUGAAAUCUUGUAAUCCCUGGGGGACCAUCUGUGGCGAAGGCGUCUUACCAGAACGGGUCCGACGGUGAGGGACGAAAGCUAGGGGAGCAAACCGGAUUAGAUACCCGGGUAGUCCUAGCUGUAAACGAUGCUCGCUAGGUGUCAGACACGGUGCGACCGUGUUUGGUGCCGCAGGGAAGCCGUUAAGCGAGCCACCUGGGAAGUACGGUCGCAAGGCUGAAACUUAAAGGAAUUGGCGGGGGAGCACUACAACGGGUGGAGCCUGCGGUUUAAUUGGAUUUCCAACGCCGGAA